RNAcentral lists this ribosomal RNA (500 nucleotides) under uncultured bacterium. RNAcentral's name for it is "bacterial SSU rRNA". It matches the Rfam family "Bacterial small subunit ribosomal RNA", at positions 28 to 532 of the family's 1533-position model. The record is from RNAcentral.
GACGAACGCUGGCGGCGUGCCUAACACAUGCAAGUCGAGCGAAUGAAGUUCCUUCGGGAACGGAUUUAGCGGCGGACGGGUGAGUAACACGUGGGCAACCUGCCUCAUAGAGGGGAAUAGCCUUCCGAAAGGGAGAUUAAUACCGCAUAAGAUUGUAGUACCGCAUGGUAUAGCAAUUAAAGGAGCAAUCCGCUAUGAGAUGGGCCCGCGGCGCAUUAGCUAGUUGGUGAGGUAACGGCUCACCAAGGCGACGAUGCGUAGCCGACCUGAGAGGGUGAUCGGCCACAUUGGGACUGAGACACGGCCCAGACUCCUACGGGAGGCAGCAGUGGGGAAUAUUGCACAAUGGGGGAAACCCUGAUGCAGCAACGCCGCGUGAGUGAUGACGGCCUCGGAUUGUAAGACUCUGUCUUCUAGGGACGAAGUAAUAGACGGUAACCGUUGAGGAGGAAGGCCAACGGGCUAACGUAACCGUGCCAGCACGCCGCGGUAAACACGAG